RNAcentral lists this ribosomal RNA (869 nucleotides) under Limosilactobacillus fermentum. RNAcentral's name for it is "bacterial SSU rRNA". It matches the Rfam family "Bacterial small subunit ribosomal RNA", at positions 161 to 1014 of the family's 1533-position model. Lineage: Bacteria; Bacillati; Bacillota; Bacilli; Lactobacillales; Lactobacillaceae. The record is from RNAcentral.
UGCUAAUACCGCAUAACAACGUUGUUCGCAUGAACAACGCUUAAAAGAUGGCUUCUCGCUAUCACUUCUGGAUGGACCUGCGGUGCAUUAGCUUGUUGGUGGGGUAACGGCCUACCAAGGCGAUGAUGCAUAGCCGAGUUGAGAGACUGAUCGGCCACAAUGGGACUGAGACACGGCCCAUACUCCUACGGGAGGCAGCAGUAGGGAAUCUUCCACAAUGGGCGCAAGCCUGAUGGAGCAACACCGCGUGAGUGAAGAAGGGUUUCGGCUCGUAAAGCUCUGUUGUUAAAGAAGAACACGUAUGAGAGUAACUGUUCAUACGUUGACGGUAUUUAACCAGAAAGUCACGGCUAACUACGUGCCAGCAGCCGCGGUAAUACGUAGGUGGCAAGCGUUAUCCGGAUUUAUUGGGCGUAAAGAGAGUGCAGGCGGUUUUCUAAGUCUGAUGUGAAAGCCUUCGGCUUAACCGGAGAAGUGCAUCGGAAACUGGAUAACUUGAGUGCAGAAGAGGGUAGUGGAACUCCAUGUGUAGCGGUGGAAUGCGUAGAUAUAUGGAAGAACACCAGUGGCGAAGGCGGCUACCUGGUCUGCAACUGACGCUGAGACUCGAAAGCAUGGGUAGCGAACAGGAUUAGAUACCCUGGUAGUCCAUGCCGUAAACGAUGAGUGCUAGGUGUUGGAGGGUUUCCGCCCUUCAGUGCCGGAGCUAACGCAUUAAGCACUCCGCCUGGGGAGUACGACCGCAAGGUUGAAACUCAAAGGAAUUGACGGGGGCCCGCACAAGCGGUGGAGCAUGUGGUUUAAUUCGAAGCUACGCGAAGAACCUUACCAGGUCUUGACAUCUUGCGCCAACCCUAGAGAUAGGGCGU